CAGGCCUAACACAUGCAAGUCGAACGGAUGUAGCAAUACAUUAGUGGCGCACGGGUGCGUAACACGUAACUAACCUACCCAGAACUGGGGGAUAGCCCGCCGAAAGGCGGAUUAAUACCGCAUAACACGAGGUGGCGGCAUCGUCUCUUCGUUAAAGAUUUAUUGGUUUUGGAUGGGGUUGCGGGUCAUUAGCUAGUUGGGUAGGUAACGGCUGCCCAAGGCGACGAUGACUAGGGGAGCUGAGAGGCUGGUCCCCCACACGGGCACUGAGAUACGGGCCCGACUCCUACGGGAGGCAGCAGUAGGGAAUAUUGGGCAAUGGGCGAGAGCCUGACCCAGCCAUGCCGCGUGCAGGAAGAAGGCUUUCUGAGUCGUAAACUGCUUUUGAUAGGGAAGAAUAAGGUGUACGUGUACACCGAUGACGGUACCUACAGAAUAAGCACCGGCUAACUCCGUGCCAGCAGCCGCGGUAAU
Molecule: ribosomal RNA, 474 nt
Filed under: uncultured bacterium
Lineage: Bacteria
Description: bacterial SSU rRNA
Rfam family: Bacterial small subunit ribosomal RNA
Source: RNAcentral